UGAUUUUAUCCAAUAGGGACCGAACUUUCUCGAGAGCGUCUUCUGAAACCGGUCCGUUGGGUGAAAGUGAUGCUUUACAAGCGUUAUAAAGCUUCUGUACAGCUGGCAUGUUCAGCAAACCGACAACCGCUUUACCCACCGCUUAUACAACAAAGCUUAUCUUACUGUGACUAACCGCUUCGAAUAAACCAAGAAUCCAGCCUGAAGGGUCCUCUAUUGCUCGAAGACCCUUCAAGAACAGCCUUUCACAAGCAGCAGACCCUUCCAGAACACAGUUUGCCACAAGCUGGAUCUACAAUGCAAAUCAAACCAAUGAUCACACAUCCAUGUAGUGCUUAACUGAUCCAGUUUUACAUUCUAUUAUCAAUGCCACCUUUUAGCAAAAGCAGAGAGAACGGUAAAGCGGAAAGAACAGAGAGAGAGAGACUGUUA
This 432-nucleotide unclassified non-coding RNA is filed under the name Hevea brasiliensis (rubber tree). Lineage: Eukaryota; Viridiplantae; Streptophyta; Magnoliopsida; Malpighiales; Euphorbiaceae. The record is from RNAcentral.